ACGGGAGACACACGGCGGGUGCUAACGUCCGUCGUGAAGAGGGAAACAACCCAGACCGCCAGCUAAGGUCCCAAAGUCAUGGUUAAGUGGGAAACGAUGUGGGAAGGCCCAGACAGCCAGGAUGUUGGCUUAGAAGCAGCCAUCAUUUAAAGAAAGCGUAAUAGCUCACUGGUCGAGUCGGCCUGCGCGGAAGAUGUAACGGGGCUAAACCAUGCACCGAAGCUGCGGCAGCGACGCUUAUGCGUUGUUGGGUAGGGGAGCGUUCUGUAAGCCUGCGAAGGUGUGCUGUGAGGCAUGCUGGAGGUAUCAGAAGUGCGAAUGCUGACAUAAGUAACGAUAAAGCGGGUGAAAAGCCCGCUCGCCGGAAGACCAAGGGUUCCUGUCCAACGUUAAUCGGGGCAGGGUGAGUCGACCCCUAAGGCGAGGCCGAAAGGCGUAGUCGAUGGGAAACAGGUUAAUAUUCCUGUACUUGGUGUUACUGCGAAGGGGGGACGGAGAAGGCUAUGUUGGCCGGGCGACGGUUGUCCCGGUU
This 532-nucleotide ribosomal RNA is filed under the name Escherichia coli. RNAcentral describes it as "partial 23S ribosomal RNA". It matches the Rfam family "Bacterial large subunit ribosomal RNA", at positions 977 to 1512 of the family's 2925-position model. Lineage: Bacteria; Pseudomonadati; Pseudomonadota; Gammaproteobacteria; Enterobacterales; Enterobacteriaceae. The record is from RNAcentral.